UCCCAGCAGCGACUUGUAAAAAAAAACAAUUGCUCCAGUCGGCACGUCUCAGCGGCCGGCGACGCGUUCAAUCCGUCUGGAAUUGCCUCAGUUGGGUAACAUCAGCGGCUUUCUUAAAGCUCACAGAUCAAAUGAACGUGGCCACACCUAUAUAUAUAUAGUAGUGGUUAAGAUAUGAACGGCCGCGGCUGUUGCCAGCCGCGAGGAAAUUUUUUUUGCGGAACCUGCGGAAGGAUCAUU
This 240-nucleotide ribosomal RNA is filed under the name Bacidia rubella. RNAcentral's name for it is "partial 18S ribosomal RNA". The record is from RNAcentral. Lineage: Eukaryota; Fungi; Ascomycota; Lecanoromycetes; Lecanorales; Ramalinaceae.